GGGAUUGAAAACUGUGUGCCACUGUUGUUGCUGAUUCUUUCAGCAAGAUUUUUUUUUCCCUUUAAUGUGAGAUUUUAAUUUCCCCUCUAGAAAACUGCUGUUGUGUGUUGUUGUGGCUUCGGCUUGGGCAACAUAUGGUUCCUGUUGGUGCGACACUACCCGUUUCUGAUUUUUAGGAGGGGUUGAAUUUCAUGCCAGUUCAGCAUGAAUAAUCUAAGACAAUAUGAGUCUCCAGCUGAGAGUGAUCACGCACAUGAGCAGUUCGGCACGAGACAACCGUUGGACCCGAUGACGUGUGUCUGCGCAUGGGCUUAGAUAGCCAACGUCGCCAUGACAUCGCCUACAAGCGUGAUUGGGGAUUUCUAAUGGAGAAGCAUGUUCUGCCUAUCUCCAUUCUGUACUGUCUUUGCUACCGUAUUCAAUCAAUUCCAUUCAUUGUGAACAGUACCAAUGUCAGCCACUAGAGGGGGGUGUUGGGUAGGAAAUGGAGCAUUAAAUCAAAUCUAAUUUUAUUUGUCACAUACACAUGUUUAGCAGAUGUUAUUACGGAUGUCGCGAAAUGCUUGUUCCAUUACAGAACUGUGGAAUGGAGCUAAAAUAUAUUUUCUCUUGUAGGUUGGCACUGGGCUGUGAAGUUGUCGUUGCUGGAGCUGUAAUGACAACAAUGUAGAUGCAAAUGAAUAAUGAAAAUGUGAUGAUAGAGUACAGAUCUGUCUGUGUGUCUAAAUGAGGACUAAUUGUUGAUUUGAGGAUACAACCAGGACUCAGGAACAACUGUCAGCAACACUGAAUCAUAAUCAGAGCUGAAUGACUCCUUAAAUAACUCUCAUCAAUUUCACAUUGACUGUAAUGAAGCAUCAACAUCAGGGAAAACCCAUUGGGAACAAACAGCUAGACCUCGUCCAAUGCAACAACAAAAAGCUGGUAUCCGUCUAAACAUGUAGGCUAUUGUAUGUGAUUGUAGGAAAAACAAAUACGAGUUUAGGCCUACAGUGACAUCAUUUGUAGCUGUUAUUCAUUCAAAAUAUUUUGCUGUCAACUUUAAUUUCAUCAAGAGUUGUAGGUAGAUUUCAAUGGCUAACACAUUUGUACAAUUCCUGUUGGAUUUGUAUGUGGGUUUUAACCCAGAAGAUCGAUUGCUUUCAGAUACAAAAUGUGUAUGUUUCACAGCCUACAGCCAGGCCAACUCCUGGCUACUACUCCUCCAGCCCUACUCAUAGUGCUGCGUCUUGUGAACUGGAGACGUGUGUAUGUUUUACAGCCUACAGCCAGGCCAACUCCUGGCUACUACUCCUCCAGCCCUACUCAUAGUGCUGCGUCUUGUGGACUGGAGACGUGUGUAUGUUUUACAGCCUACAGCCAGGCCAACUCCUGGCUACUACUCCUCCAGCCCUACUCAUAGUGCUGCGUCUUGUGGACUGGAGACGUGUGUAUGUUUCACAGCCUACAGCCAGGCCAACUCCUGGCUACUACUCCUCCAGCCCUACUCAUAGUGCUACGUCUUGUGGACUGGAGACGUGUGUAUGUUUCACAGCCUACAGCCAGGCCAACUCCUGGCUACUACUCCUCCAGCCCUACUCAUAGUGCUGCGUCUUGUGGACUGGAGACGUGUGUAUGUUUUACAGCCUACAGCCAGGCCAACUCCUGGCUACUACUCCUCCAGCCCUACUCAUAGUGCUGCGUCUUGUGGACUGGAGACGUGUGUAUGUUUCACAGCCUACAGCCAGGCCAACUCCUGGCUACUACUCCUCCAGCCCUACUCAUAGUGCUGCGUCUUGUGGACUGGUGACGUGUGUAUGUUUCACAGCCUACAGCCAGGCCAACUCCUGGCUACUACUCCUCCAGCCCUACUCAUAGUGCUGCGUCUUGUGGACUGGUGACGUGUGUAUGUUUCACAGCCUACAGCCAGGCCAACUCCUGGCUACUACUCCUCCAGCCCUACUCAUAGUGCUGCGUCUUGUGGACUGGAGACGUGUGUAUGUUUUACAGCCUACAGCCAGGCCAACUCCUGGCUACUACUCCUCCAGCCCUACUCAUAGUGCUGC
Long non-coding RNA from Oncorhynchus keta (chum salmon), 2045 nucleotides. RefSeq lists it as uncharacterized. NCBI's taxonomy places the organism in Eukaryota, Metazoa, Chordata, Actinopteri, Salmoniformes, Salmonidae. The record is from RefSeq and is a predicted model, not a curated record. The transcript is spliced from 3 exons.